AACAGCUAGCUUAAAGACAAACUAAAAAAACAAUAUUACUUAAUUUUUUAUGACUAUAAUACAAAAAUUAAAUCAUUCUCCUGCCUUAGUAAGGGCGACAGAAAAGGCACCACAAAGCAAUAGAGGAAGUACCGUAAGGGAACGCUGAAAUAGUAAUGAAAUAAAUCAUAUAAGCCAUAAAUAGCAGAGAUAAAAUCUCGUACCUUUUGCAUCAUGAUUUAGCCAGAAUAUCUGAGCAAAGAGAACUUUAGUUCAAUUUCCCGAAACCAAGUGAGCUACCCCGGGAUAGCCUUCUUAUUAGGGCCAACCCGUCUCUGUGGCAAAAGAGUGGGAAAAUCCCCGGGUAGAAGUGACAAACCUACCGAACUUGGUGAUAGCUGGUUACCUAGAAAAUGGAUAAGAGUUCAGCCUUACAUUCCUUACCUCCCAUUAACAAGCACCGCUUACCCAGUAAACAAGAAAAAUGUAAGAGUUAGUCAAAAGAGGAACAGCCCUUUUGACACAGGAUACAACCUGAUAAGGAGGUUAAGUGUCAUAUUAAAUAAGAUAAGCCAUUCCAGUGGGCCUAAGAGCAGCCACCUGUUAAGAAAGCGUCUAAGCUCAGGCAGUAAACAAAUCUGUUAUUACGAUAUUUCUCCAUAAAACCCCUGAUUUUACUAGGUCUUUCCAUGCUUCCAUGGAAGAGAUAAUGCUAAAAUGAGUAACAAGAAAACAUUCUCCUCGCUCAAGUGUAAGUUAGAUUGGACAAACCGCUAACAAUUAACGAACCUAAUAAAAGAAGGUAAAGUGACCUUAUAUAUAAAACAAGAAAACCUCACACAAUAAAUCGUUAACCCAACACUGGAAAGCUAAAGGAAAGACUAAAAGAGAAAGAAGGAACUCGGCAAAUACUAGCCUCGCCUGUUUACCAAAAACAUCGCCUCUUGCUAAUAAUCCUUGUAUAAGAGGUCUCGCCUGCCCAAUGACAUUAGUUGAAUGGCCGCGGUAUUUCUGACCGUGCUAAGGUAGCGUAAUCAUUUGUCUUUUAAAUUAAGACCUGUAUGAAUGGUGGAACGAGGGCUAGACUGUCUCCUUUUUCAAGUCAGUGAAAUUGAUCUGCCCGUGCAGAAGCGGACAUGAACAUACAAGACGAGAAGACCCUAUGGAGCUUAAAGAUAUAAAGAUCAAGUAUGUAAAAAUUACAUGAAAUGGACACAAAACAUAGUAUUUACUGAUUUUCAUCUUCGGUUGGGGCGACCGUGGGGAAAACAAAACCCCCAUGUGGAAAAGGAAAAACCUAUAAUAUAAGAGGGACACCUCUAAGUCUCAGAAAAUCUGACCUAAAAGAUCCGGCUAAUUAGCUGAUUAACGGACCAAGUUACCCUAGGGAUAACAGCGCAAUCCCCUCCAAGAGCCCAUAUCGACGAGGGGGUUUACGACCUCGAUGUUGGAUCAGGACAUCCUAAUGGUGCAGCCGCUAUUAAGGGUUCGUUUGUUCAACGAUUAAAGUCCUACGUGAUCUGAGUUCAGACCGGAGAAAUCCAGGUCGGUUUCUAUCUGUAAAACUACACUUCCUAGUACGAAAGGACCGGAAGUGUGAAGCCAAUGUUAUAAGCACGCCUCACUUCAACUUAAUGAAGACAACUAAAUUAAAUAAAGAAAAGUAUUGAUUAUUCCAAGAUAAGGGCUUA
This 1670-nucleotide ribosomal RNA is filed under the name Prionobrama filigera (glass bloodfin tetra). RNAcentral's name for it is "16S ribosomal RNA". It matches the Rfam family "Bacterial large subunit ribosomal RNA". The record is from RNAcentral. Lineage: Eukaryota; Metazoa; Chordata; Actinopteri; Characiformes; Characidae.